GACGAACGCUGGCGGCGUGCCUAAUACAUGCAAGUCGAGCGAAUGAUGAGGAGCUUGCUCCUCUGAUUUAGUGGCGGACGGGUGAGUAACACGUGGGCAACCUGCCCUGUAGACUGGGAUAACUUCGGGAAACCGGAGCUAAUACCGGAUAAUUCUUUUAGCCUCAUGGCUUUAAGCUAAAAGGCGCUUCGGCGUCACUACAGGAUGGGCCCGCGGUGCAUUAGCUGGUUGGUGGGGUAAUGGCCUACCAAGGCAACGAUGCAUAGCCGACCUGCGAGGGUGAUCGGCCACAUUGGGACUGAGACACGGCCCAAACUCCUACGGGAGGCAGCAGUAGGGAAUCUUCCACAAUGGACGAAAGUCUGAUGGAGCAACGCCGCGUGAGUGAUGAAGGUUUUCGGAUCGUAAAACUCUGUUGUAAGGGAAGAACAAGUGCGUUAGGUAAUGAACGCACCUUGACGGUACCUUAUUAGAAAGCCACGGCUAACUACGUGCCAGCCGCCGCCGUAA
This 510-nucleotide ribosomal RNA is filed under the name uncultured bacterium. RNAcentral's name for it is "partial 16S ribosomal RNA". It matches the Rfam family "Bacterial small subunit ribosomal RNA", at positions 28 to 523 of the family's 1533-position model. The record is from RNAcentral.